RNAcentral lists this transfer RNA (75 nucleotides) under Longilinea arvoryzae. RNAcentral's name for it is "tRNA-His". It matches the Rfam family "tRNA". From Rfam's summary of the family: Transfer RNA (tRNA) molecules are approximately 80 nucleotides in length. Their secondary structure includes four short double-helical elements and three loops (D, anti-codon, and T loops). Further hydrogen bonds mediate the characteristic L-shaped molecular structure. tRNAs have two regions of fundamental functional importance: the anti-codon, which is responsible for specific mRNA codon recognition, and the 3' end, to which the tRNAs corresponding amino acid is attached (by aminoacyl-tRNA synthetases). tRNAs cope with the degeneracy of the genetic code in two manners: having more than one tRNA (with a specific anti-codon) for a particular amino acid; and 'wobble' base-pairing, i.e. permitting non-standard base-pairing at the 3rd anti-codon position. The record is from RNAcentral. Lineage: Bacteria; Bacillati; Chloroflexota; Anaerolineae; Anaerolineales; Anaerolineaceae.
GUGGGUGUAGCUCAAUGGCAGAGUGCGUGACUGUGGAUCACGAUGUUGUGGGUUCGACCCCCAUCACCCACCCCA